GGGGAAUCUUCCGCAAUGGGCGCAAGCCUGACGGAGCAAGACCGCGUGGGGGAGGACGGUUUGUGGAUUGUAAACCCCUUUUCUCAGGGAAGAAGGACUGACGGUACCUGAGGAAUCAGCAUCGGCUAACUCCGUGCCAGCAGCCGCGGUAAUACGGAGGAUGCAAGCGUUAUCCGGAAUUAUUGGGCGUAAAGCGUCCGUAGGUGGUUCAUCAAGUCAGUUGUUAAAGCGUGGGGCUCAACCCCAUAAAGGCGAUUGAAACUGGUGGACUAGAGUUUGGUAGGGGUCAGGGGAAUUCCCAGUGUAGCGGUGAAAUGCGUAGAUAUUGGGAAGAACACCGGUGGCGAAAGCGCCUGACUGGGCCUGAACUGACACUGAGGGACGAAAGCUAGGGGAGCGAAAGGGAUUAGAUACCCCAGUAGUC
This 424-nucleotide ribosomal RNA is filed under the name uncultured cyanobacterium. RNAcentral describes it as "bacterial SSU rRNA". It matches the Rfam family "Bacterial small subunit ribosomal RNA", at positions 356 to 795 of the family's 1533-position model. The record is from RNAcentral. Lineage: Bacteria; Bacillati; Cyanobacteriota.